GGCGAACGGGUGAGUAACGCGUGGGUAACCUGCCCUCGAGUUGGGAAUAACACCCCCAACGGGGUGCUAAUACCGAAUAACAUCGCGCUGACUUAUGUCGGUGCGAUCAAAGGCAGCCUCUGCUUGCAAGCUGUCGCUCGAGGAUGGACCCGCGUCCCAUUAGCUUGUUGGUGAGGUAACGGCCCACCAAGGCGAUGAUGGGUAGCUGGUCUGAGAGGAUGGUCAGCCACACUGGGAUUGAGAAACGGCCCAGACUCCUUCGGGAGGCAGCAGUCGAGAGGCUUUGGCAAUGGGGGAAACCCUGACCAAGCGACGCCGCGUGGGCGAUGAAGGCCUUCGGGUUGUAAAGCCCUGUUAAGAGGGAAGAACCGCCUCGA
RNAcentral lists this ribosomal RNA (377 nucleotides) under uncultured Pseudomonadota bacterium. RNAcentral's name for it is "bacterial SSU rRNA". It matches the Rfam family "Bacterial small subunit ribosomal RNA", at positions 97 to 458 of the family's 1533-position model. Lineage: Bacteria; Pseudomonadati; Pseudomonadota. The record is from RNAcentral.